This 886-nucleotide ribosomal RNA is filed under the name Acinetobacter johnsonii. RNAcentral's name for it is "bacterial SSU rRNA". It matches the Rfam family "Bacterial small subunit ribosomal RNA", at positions 88 to 969 of the family's 1533-position model. Lineage: Bacteria; Pseudomonadati; Pseudomonadota; Gammaproteobacteria; Moraxellales; Moraxellaceae. The record is from RNAcentral.
UGUCCUAGCGGCGGACGGGUGAGUAAUGCUUAGGAAUCUGCCUAUUAGUGGGGGACAACAUUCCGAAAGGAAUGCUAAUACCGCAUACGCCCUACGGGGGAAAGCAGGGGAUCUUCGGACCUUGCGCUAAUAGAUGAGCCUAAGUCAGAUUAGCUAGUUGGUGGGGUAAAGGCCUACCAAGGCGACGAUCUGUAGCGGGUCUGAGAGGAUGAUCCGCCACACUGGGACUGAGACACGGCCCAGACUCCUACGGGAGGCAGCAGUGGGGAAUAUUGGACAAUGGGCGAAAGCCUGAUCCAGCCAUGCCGCGUGUGUGAAGAAGGCCUUUUGGUUGUAAAGCACUUUAAGCGAGGAGGAGGCUACUUAGAUUAAUACUCUAGGAUAGUGGACGUUACUCGCAGAAUAAGCACCGGCUAACUCUGUGCCAGCAGCCGCGGUAAUACAGAGGGUGCGAGCGUUAAUCGGAUUUACUGGGCGUAAAGCGUGCGUAGGCGGCUUUUUAAGUCGGAUGUGAAAUCCCUGAGCUUAACUUAGGAAUUGCAUUCGAUACUGGGAAGCUAGAGUAUGGGAGAGGAUGGUAGAAUUCCAGGUGUAGCGGUGAAAUGCGUAGAGAUCUGGAGGAAUACCGAUGGCGAAGGCAGCCAUCUGGCCUAAUACUGACGCUGAGGUACGAAAGCAUGGGGAGCAAACAGGAUUAGAUACCCUGGUAGUCCAUGCCGUAAACGAUGUCUACUAGCCGUUGGGGCCUUUGAGGCUUUAGUGGCGCAGCUAACGCGAUAAGUAGACCGCCUGGGGAGUACGGUCGCAAGACUAAAACUCAAAUGAAUUGACGGGGGCCCGCACAAGCGGGGGAGCAUGGGGGUUAAUUCGAUGCAACGCGAAAAAC